GUGUCAGCAGCCGCGGUAACACGUAGGGGGCGAGCGUUGUCCGGAUUUAUUGGGCGUAAAGAGCUCGUAGGCGGCUCAGUAAGUCGGGUGUGAAAUUUCAGGGCUCAACCCUGAAACGCCACCCGAUACUGCUGUGGCUAGAGUCCGGUAGGGGAGCGUGGAAUUCCUGGUGUAGCGGUGAAAUGCGCAGAUAUCAGGAGGAACACCAGCGGCGAAGGCGGCGCUCUGGGCCGGAACUGACGCUGAGGAGCGAAAGCAUGGGUAGCGAACAGGAUUAGAAACCCGCGUAGUCC
RNAcentral lists this ribosomal RNA (293 nucleotides) under uncultured bacterium. Its description in RNAcentral is "partial 16S ribosomal RNA". It matches the Rfam family "Bacterial small subunit ribosomal RNA", at positions 505 to 796 of the family's 1533-position model. The record is from RNAcentral.